AGGGGCAUCAGGACAAAGCUUGCUUGUUUGCUGGCGACCGGCGCACGGGGUGAGUAACGCGUAUCCGACUACCCAUAACUCGGGGCACAGCCGCUCGAAAGAGCGAUUGAUUCCCGAUGUCACCUUUAUGGUGCAUGCCAUAUUGGUUAAAGUAUUCGGUACGGGGAUGGGGGAUGCGUCUGAUUAGGUAGUAGGCGGGGUAACGGCCCACCUAGCCGACGAUCAGUAGGGGUUCUGAGAGGAAGGUCCCCCACACUGGAACUGAGACACGGUCCAGACUCCUACGGGAGGCAGCAGUGAGGAAUAUUGGGCAAUGGGCGAAAGCCUGACCCAGCGACGCCGCGUGAAGGAAGACGGUCUUCGGAUUGUAAACUUCUUUUAUAUGGGACGAAGAAAGUGACGGUACCAUAUGAAUAAGCCACGGCUAACUACGUG
Molecule: ribosomal RNA, 435 nt
Filed under: uncultured bacterium
Lineage: Bacteria
Description: bacterial SSU rRNA
Rfam family: Bacterial small subunit ribosomal RNA
Source: RNAcentral